Long non-coding RNA from Bombyx mori (domestic silkworm), 374 nucleotides. RefSeq lists it as uncharacterized. The record is from RefSeq and is a predicted model, not a curated record. NCBI's taxonomy places the organism in Eukaryota, Metazoa, Arthropoda, Insecta, Lepidoptera, Bombycidae. The transcript has 2 exons.
AAUAUUUAGACCAUAGUUAGUUUAAGCAGAUGAUUUUUGCCACGGCAUGUUCUGAGCGUCAUCUUGUCUUCUUCAAACGAUCUUCAUUGCAUCUGCAUUGUUCAUGUCAACGAGAGCUGGAUGGGCAAUAUGCUUGAUGAUUUCGCCAAGGCUACAACACUAUAGACAAAUACUCGUAAUAUUAAAAAUAAACAAUACUAGCCUAUUCUCAAUUUGACUACAGACUUCAAGCAAUAACAAAAGUUUGACAAUAAACGAAGAGUAUAUGUGUAUGUAUCAAAUACAUGGUAGUGUGUGUAAUGUUUUUUUAUUGAUUUAAUGUAUUAUUAAUGCAUAAUUUAAAAAAAUAUAGCAUUCUGCACUCCUUCACUGUA